UUUACAAAAAAGAAACAUUUUGAAAAGAAUUAUUAAAAAACAAAGUUAAAUAGAUUCAAAGAUUUAAAUUCAAGCUGCAUUUGUUCUACUCUGAUACGUUUAAAAUAAAAAUUGCAUUUUGGAAAGAUUUAUAGAAAAAAAAAAGACAGUUAUGCGACGAUGAUGAAACAUUUUUGAGAAAAGGGACACCAUUGUGCGCGUGAUAAUAGCAAAACAUUUUCGUGACAUGCAUAUAUCGAGUGCAAAUGCGUCUGAGAAGACACGUGUGUCAGUAAGAAAUGACUUGCGCCGGUGAGAGGGCUGAAAUGUGGUACAAGAGGGCUGGAAAUAACCUGCGGUGUGGCUGACCCCUCAGUCUGCAUCAUAUAUAACCGCACAAGCGUUAUGUGUGCGUGAAUUAUUACAAUCUUUGCAGGAAAUCACGAUCUUCUGGAAGAUCAAUUUUAAAAGGCUGAUCAUUUUCGUCCGUUAGGUGUCAGAUUUAUGCGAUCCCUCGUGCGAAUCGAGCGUUCGCAUCAUCAUCAAUUUUUCUCUCGCCUCUCUUCCGGAAUUAUGACAGAUUCAAUUGCUAAAGCGUACUUUGAAUUACUCGACUUUGAAUUUGAUGGUGAUUUAAUUAUUCGAGGGAACGAACGUAUUCAUGGAAAUUGAUAAAAGGAAUAUUACUCAAGUUCGCGAGACGAAAUAAAAGUAGAAAUAAGAAAUAAAAUUUCCUUGAUGGUGGACGAAGAAUUUUUUUAAUAUCAUUUUUUUUAACAACAAGUUAGCGAUAUAAUAACAUAUAAUUUCGAUAAAGAAACUAUUUUUGAACUAUGCAUAUAAUGGUAUGAAUCAUAAAUGAUCUAGACUCUCUGGUCAGUAAAGUUAAUGCACGUAUAACAUGUAUAAUGAUACAUCAUUUUUAAUAUCAUACUUAAUUUUUAUGAAUACGUUUAUCUAUAUUACAGGAAUUUAUUUAAAAUGGUUUAUCAUUAUUCCCUUACUUUUCCCAAUUUUUCAAAUUAAACAACGAAAAGGAUUUUAAAUUUUGAAUCGUUUAUCGUCGAUAAAUCUUUUCUAAAAAAAAAAAAAAAAGGAAACCUUAGAAAUUUUAAAUAAAAUUGCCAUUAAAUGAAUUUCCCUUGAACUACGCAACAUCGACGUGUAGCGUCGUAGUAUCGUUCCGCUGGCAAUCGAAUAUUUUCCUUAUCAAAGUGCGAUCACCUGCUGCUCGCAAAGUGGCAACGAGCAUUCAUUUUAUUUUAUUACGAAACGUAUGCAUACGAUAUCUGUUGCCCGCUAUAUAUACUUGCUCCGUUGCGGUAUCAUCAUGCUGUUAGAUAAGGCGACGACCUUAACUAAGGAAAUCGUGAAAAGUUGAUCAACGACUGAUCAAAAUGAAGUUAUCGAUCAUAAUAAUCCUGCCUCCAUAAAAGAUCUCUGACAACAGGACACGAGGAAAAGGGGAGAUAGUGACGUUGCACGGUUGAACAAAGGGAAAAACUCGAGCACGGCUGGUGAACAGUCGCAAAGCGUGAGGGGUGGGGAAAGAGGAAAGGACAGAAAACGACGAAAAGGGAAUGGGUAUCUUCUCAGGUAUGAAAUACACGCAUAUAAGCGAAGCAAACCAAUGAAGGAUUCUUUGGUGAGUUGCCAAUAAUACCGCUGCCGUUGAAUCUUGCUGCCAUCCAAUCGACUGGAGAUUAUCUUGUGGUGAAACCAGAAAGGGGGAAACCGGUGCAUAGUCUCGGUUAACCGAUCUUAGUCCAGAUAAAAGGACAAAUUGUGGUUACAAUGUUGUAUAGUACAGUUCCGAAUAAAAGACAGUGUCGAGUUCAUUCGAAUAGCAAAUAGAUAAUGUUGAUAAAAUAUUUGUAUCGAACAGAUGGGACGGAAAUUCUUUCUAUCUUAGAUAAUUAAACUUGUUUAAAUCAAGUGCGAAGAAUUUUUGAGAAACGAAAUCUCUUAAUUCCGUGUAUUCUUUGUUUCGAUUUUUUGUUUUAAUUCUACGUAUUUGUAUUUGCUCAAAAUGUAAUAUUUCUAUAUUCAUCAUUUUGUACCAAGACAACACGUAAUUUAUAUAAAUGCUCAAAAGGAUCAAAUCCAAUUUCUGAAAUAGCUAUGAUCUCAUGCUCAACAAAUCUAGCAUGUGUCAUAAAUCAUCCCUUAAGCUAUUUACAGUGCGUGCAUUUCGCGUGAGUGAAGAUCUGUCAUUCUGGCGACUAUAUGGAAACUAUUCGUGAAAUGAAUUUUGUUUAUGGGAUUAAUAUUUGUUUAAUUGUUUCGAUGAAUUUGUAAGGAAAGUAGUUUAUCAAAAAAUUCAUUGUAAACUAAAAUUAAUAUAAAAUCCAUGUGUUUCAGUAUUGUAUAACGAAUAUAUUGGAUAUUAUUCACAAAAAUAUUAUCAAGGAAGAUAAUUCAUGAACAUAAACCAGUUCACCAGAAACAAACUGUUCUGUUCACGAACUCAUCAACAUGAACUCACUGUUCAUGAACUGUUCAAGAGCAAUUUUCCAAUUGUUUAAAAACUGUUAUACUGAGAAAAGCAAAAGCAGAGCAUAAUCCAAAAUCAGCUUAAAUGUGUAAAUAAUUUCUACAAGGAUUGCUAUAAUUAUAUACAGAGAAUCACAAUUUGAUUGGGAUCAAAUUAUAAAAAGUUGUUGAACAUAGAUUAGAAUUGAUAAAAAUGGUAGAAUUCUAGUCGCAACAAACUGUUGACAAUGAUCAAGAAUAGAUGACGUGGUCAGUCACGACGAUGCAUACACAUUGACAUUCGAUGGAAUCGAGACUAUGCAGAGGAAUUCCUUUUCUUCAACUACCUGUAAAAAGCUUACAAUACAAUUGUGGUUUCAUUCAUUGCGUUGUUUGAUUUAAACCGUGGUUGCGUAUACAAUAACCAACGCUAUUAAUCAAAUGAUCCAGAAACUCGAAUAUCUAUCUAUAAUGAUAUUCGUUUUAAUAACAUUUCUAUAUAAAAAGACAUUAUAAAAUUUAUAUCGUAUAAUAAUUAUCAUAUUGUUGUAAAAUAUAUCUUAUACUAUAUGCUUGAACAAAAUUUACUUGAAUCAGAACAAUCGAGUUCCAGAUACUUUUUAAUUUAUAGCAAGUACAAUAUUAAUCGAUUUACUAUUCCACGUGGAACAAAACAAACUCAGAAAGAGUCACUUUUACAAAAAUAUUACAAAAAUUGAGAAAUUUGUUAAUGAAGAAACAAAUAAUAUUAACAAUGUUGUUGAAGUUAUCUUAGAAUUAUUAAUAUUAAACAGUUGUUCUUAAAAUAGUGUAAAAGGUUGUUAGAUUCUGAUUUCUGAUUUAAUUAUUUCAAUUAGAUAAUAGUUGUAAAUAUAUUUAAGGAACGAUGCAGAGGAAAUUUUUAUUAAUUCAUAAUUUUUUACUCAAUUAUUCUCAAUAUUUGUUAAAUAUGAUAAGAAGGAUUAGAAGGUAUUUCUCGUAUUGCGUUAAAUUCAAUUUAACGUAAAUUCAUCCCAACAGUACGUAGCCAUCGAUUGUCUACGCCAAUGCACAAUAUAUUCGUCUAACUAUAAUCUUAAAUGGAGAGUUUAGCCCCGUGGAAGAUGUAUGGUAUGGAAUAAAUCCGAAUGCAACAUUGCUACUUUGUCGGCGAGAAGACGUAUGAUGUGGGAAACAUUCGAUGCGACGGUGGGAGGGUAAUUUAAGCUCGGUUCACAACUGUACGAGUAACUAACUUUACAUUAUUAUGCCCUCUAUCGAACGACGUUACAAUGUAAUUUAUCAAUCUCGUAAAUUUUUAAUCAUCGAAAGGUGAAAUUUACUCGUAAAUAAAAUUAUUUUUAUCGUGUUGAGAAAUUGAACGGGGAAUAUCAACAUCUCCGAGUAUGAAUUAAUCUUAAACUGGUUUGAGAAAGGCACGUAGAAGGGGCAGGGCAAAGAAGAAAUGCGAAAUGACCGACACUGUGCGACCAACCGAACAUUGCAUUGGCGUAACAGACGUGGAAUCAGUUUUUUAAUCAGAAAUAUUGGCCAUUUUAGUGCGCGAACCGAUGGCUCCAAGUUUGAUGCAUAAAUUGCUUAUUAUUAUUUACAACGUGUACAAGACAGAGACUUAUUGAAGCUGAGUUUUUUUCCCCUCGUGUUUCGUAUGAUCAGUUUCUUUUCCCUUCACAUCCAUCUUCAGCUCGUUCUCUUAUUUUGUAAUACCUUUGUUCGUGUUUUCUUACUUGUUAAUCAAUACACGUCAAACCUUUUUUUUUUAA
Apis mellifera (honey bee) is the source of this 4214-nucleotide long non-coding RNA. RefSeq lists it as uncharacterized. The transcript has 6 exons. The record is from RefSeq and is a predicted model, not a curated record. NCBI's taxonomy places the organism in Eukaryota, Metazoa, Arthropoda, Insecta, Hymenoptera, Apidae.